CCAAGGAGACACUGUAGGCCUCAGGGACAGGCUUUGCAAGUAAAGCAUACAGAAACAAGAGGAGGGCUACGUGUUCUAAUCACUGUUUCUAACAACUAGACAUCCAAGCACCGUAGAAUCAAGCCUCUGCAGUGUUUGCCAGCUGUCUAAUCCUCCUGAAGUGGAUAAAAGGAGAUUUACAUUGCUUCUUGAACUACUCUAAAUGCUGGAUUUAUGAGACCCAGACUCACAAAGGGGGCAAAUGAGAAAGCAGUUCCCUCGGCAUGCUUCCAGGAGGGCUGGUGAGGAAUGGGACAGAAGCUAGCAAAGAGCUUCCGAAUUGUCUUCA
This is a long non-coding RNA of Manis pentadactyla (Chinese pangolin), 328 nucleotides long. RefSeq lists it as uncharacterized. Lineage: Eukaryota; Metazoa; Chordata; Mammalia; Pholidota; Manidae. The record is from RefSeq and is a predicted model, not a curated record. The transcript has 2 exons.